RNAcentral lists this ribosomal RNA (415 nucleotides) under uncultured bacterium. RNAcentral describes it as "bacterial SSU rRNA". It matches the Rfam family "Bacterial small subunit ribosomal RNA", at positions 28 to 438 of the family's 1533-position model. The record is from RNAcentral.
GACGAACGCUGGCGGCGCGCCUAACACAUGCAAGUCGAACGGAGCUUAGAGAGCUUGCUUUUUAGGCUUAGUGGCGAACGGGUGAGUAACGCGUGAGUAACCUGCCCUAGAGUGGGGGACAACAGUUGGAAACGACUGCUAAUACCGCAUAAGCCCACGGUACCGCAUGGUACUGAGGGAAAAGGAUUUAUUCGCUUUAGGAUGGACUCGCGUCCAAUUAGCUAGUUGGUGAGGUAACGGCCCACCAAGGCGACGAUUGGUAGCCGGACUGAGAGGUUGAACGGCCACAUUGGGACUGAGACACGGCCCAGACUCCUACGGGAGGCAGCAGUGGGGGAUAUUGCACAAUGGGGGAAACCCUGAUGCAGCGACGCCGCGUGGAGGAAGAAGGUUUUCGGAUUGUAAACUCCUGUCG